AGUGAACGCUGGCGGCAUGCCUAACACAUGCAAGUCGAACGGCAGCACGGUUGUUUCUUGCUGGUACCGAGUGGCAGACGGGUGCGUAAUACAUAGGCAUCCGUCCCUUAGUUUUGGUGAGGCUUGAGGAAGCUGGACUUACACCAAAAUCGAAUAUCCCAUAAAAGUGGAGGACUUGGAUCUUUUGAGCUUUAGGGAUGGAAGAUGCCGGAUUAGCUAGUUGGGGGGGUAAAGGUCUAUCAAGGCGAAGAUCAGUAGCUGGUCUGAGAGGAAGAGCAGCCACACUGGAACUGAGACACGGCCCAGACUCCUACGGGAGGCAGCAGUGGGGAAUAUUGGACAAUGGGCGAAAGCCUGAUCCAGCCAUACCGCGUGUGUGAAGAAGGCCUUCGGGUUGUAAAGCCCUUUUGUUGGGAAAGAAAAGCAUCAGCUUAAUACGGAGCGGGUAUGACGGUACCGGAAGAAUAAGCACCGGCUAACUACGUG
This 486-nucleotide ribosomal RNA is filed under the name uncultured bacterium. RNAcentral's name for it is "partial 16S ribosomal RNA". It matches the Rfam family "Bacterial small subunit ribosomal RNA", at positions 29 to 507 of the family's 1533-position model. The record is from RNAcentral.